CCACGAAUUAAGCGCAAGAUGACAGGAUGGCGAGAUUGCAACAACCGCAGGGCAAUCCAAUGUCGUAUACGCCAUAGGAUAUGGUCCCAUUCCCAACACUUCCUCCCAUAUUUUCCAUUCUCCAAAAUAAUAAAUCGAGAAAAUCAUAUAGAUUUAUAGAAUCAGAGAUAUCACUUGAAUCUAGUACGAUUACAAACACGUUUGUGUAUCGCAAAGGGAUGUCAUAAAUUGUAAUAAAUUGCAAAGUGAAUUAAAAAAAAAAUGAUAGUUACAAAUUACGCAAGAGUGUUUAAAUAAUUUUCUCUGAUUUACCCUAUUUUUUUACAUUUUUUCCACUCUUGUCUAUUUUCCAAUUUUGCAGUUGAAACCAAAGCGAGACAACAAUUGACGUUAAUGUGAAAAUUUCUGCAACGAUGAAAUUUUUCGCAGAUGGCAACAAUUUGAUGGCACUCCCUUCCGAGCGAAAAUUUGAUUUCAAACCCUGAUCAAAAUUUUAAAUAUACAUUUCUUUUGUUCGCGCUCGCGUUUCAAGCGUUUGUGAUUGAUGCAACUGCUACGUGAUUAAAUUCAUUAUCGAGGGAAAUAAAUUUUAAGAACGUUGAACGCGAAACUGUUUAACGAGUCGGUGAUUUCCAUCGAAAUCGCGAUUAAUCGAGUCGUUCGACGGUUUGGAAACGUUAAGUGUCUAGAGGCUCAGAGCUAGAAAUUGAUUUCUGCGUCGACGAACCGGAGACACGGAAUUUAGCGAAUAAGCUGCUCCACCGGAGAGAAAAAGGACGCAAUUUCGACUGUUCUUCUGUGACGCUGCGAAUCGAUUACUCGGAGAACAAGGCGCACUUUUCUUCCAACGAAAGGGUGAAGUCUCAGCAAAAGGAACGCGUGGAAUUUCAAUUUCCAAGGCCCACCCAUUGAUAAAUGCCCUCUCCAUUAAUUGUUUUGUUGAGUUUAACCCUUUAAACUUUACGCUACAUUAGCGAUUCAUUUAUUCUAGUCGUCAGGUUAGCGAUUUGUAUUGCCCUUUAACGUUUAAACCUUUGUAUGUAUGCAGUUUCUACUAAUUAGUACUAAAGUAGUAUUCUAGAUUCAUUGUCAAAAUAAAAUAAUUAUUAUUAUUAUUUGGAUCUUUUUUAUGGAUUAUAUCGUAUAACAAGAUUUUGAGAAUUUGAACUUUGAGAGAUAUUUAAAUUUUUGAGCUAUAUGUGUUAUUCGUUUGUUAGCUUUAUUGU
This 1226-nucleotide unclassified non-coding RNA is filed under the name Bombus terrestris (buff-tailed bumblebee). RNAcentral describes it as "misc RNA ENSBTSG00005034587.1". The record is from RNAcentral. Lineage: Eukaryota; Metazoa; Arthropoda; Insecta; Hymenoptera; Apidae.